GACGAACGCUGGCGGCGUGCUUAACACAUGCAAGUCGAACGGAAAGGCCCCCAUCUUGGUGGGGGUGCUCGAGUGGCGGACGGGAGAGUCACACGUGGUUGAUCUGCCCUGUACUUCGGGAUAAGCAUGGGAAACUGGGUCUAAUACCGGAUAGGACCACGGUUUAGUAUCUCAUCGUGGUAAGAUUAUUGUUUUGGUGCAGGAUGAGCUCGCGGCCUAUCAGCUUGUUGGUGGGGUAAUGGCCUACUCAGGCGGUGACGGGUAGCCGGCCUGAGGGGGUGUACGGGGUCAGUGAGACUGAGCAGCGGCCCUGAGACCUAGGGACGGCAGCGAUGGGGACGGGUAGACACAGGGGGGAAGACUGAAGCAGCGACGCCGGGUUGGGGAUGCCGGCCUGCGGGUUGUAAACUCCUUUCGUUAGUGACGAAGCCUUUCUUUUUGGGUGUGGUGACCGUAACUUGGUUAAGAAGCACCGGCUAACUACGUG
This 487-nucleotide ribosomal RNA is filed under the name uncultured bacterium. Its description in RNAcentral is "partial 16S ribosomal RNA". It matches the Rfam family "Bacterial small subunit ribosomal RNA", at positions 28 to 507 of the family's 1533-position model. The record is from RNAcentral.